UUAAUAGAUGUAGUUUGAAGGAUAUAUUGUCUAUUGAUUAGUUAUAAUGUUUGGAAGUGUAAAGAAAGUAUUUUUAUGUUUUAGUAAUUUUUGGGGAAAAAUUGGGUUAGAUAUAGGGUAUUAGUAUUGUGAAAGAAAAUUUAAUUUAUUGAUAAAGAAAAGUUUAUAUAUUGUACCUUGGGUAUCAGGGUUUACUUAAAAGGGUCUAAAUAUAUAGUUGUCUCGAAUUUAGAAGAGUUACUUAGCUAUUUCUUUUAUUGUGGCAGAAAUAUUGUUAAUAGCUAGGUAGGGGUGAAAUGUUAAUCGGUUCUAAAUAUAUCUAGUUUUUUAAGAAAAAAAUUUAAUUUUUUUUUAUUUUGAAUAAUUUUUUACUUUGUUAGAAUUUUAUUAAGUAAAGGUAAUAAUUUAGGGGUUGAGCUUUAGGUUAAAUUUAUAUAAUAGGGGAAUUUAUAUAGUAAAUAUGGAGGAUUUAAAGUUUCUACUAGAGUGAUUUAUAUCUUAGUUGCUUGGUAUAUAAGAUUUAUUAAUAUUAUUUAUGUUUUUUAUUAAAAUUUAGGUUUAAAUAUUGAUUAUUUAGUAAAAAUGGUAAGAUUAGUAUAUUUGAAUUUAGGUAUUUUUUUAAGUUAAAGGCUUAUUUAAGGAAUUCGGCAAAUUAUUUCCCACCUGUUUAUUAAAAACAUGGCUUUUUGAGUAUAAUUGAAGGUCUAACCUGCCCAAUGAUUGAGUAUUAAAUGGCCGCGGUAUACUGACCGUGCAAAGGUAGCAUAAUCAUUAGUUUUUUAAUUGAAAGCUUGUAUGAAAGGUUGAAUGAGGAAAUUACUGUCUCAAGUAAGAUUUAUUAGAAUUUUAUUAUUUUGUAAGAAGGCAAAAAUUUAUAUGAAAGACGAGAAGACCCUAUAGAGUUUAAUAAUUUAAGUAGAAAGGGUAAUUGGGAUAUUUUUUUUUAUUUAUUUGAAUUAUUUGGUUGGGGUGAUUGAAUAAUUUAAUAAACUUUUUUUGUCUAUUUUCACUGAUAUGUGAAUAUUUGAUCCUUAAUAAAGAUUAAAAGAAAAAAUUACCUUAGGGAUAACAGCGUAAUUUUCUUAGAGAGUUCUUAUCGAAAGGAGAGUUUGCGACCUCGAUGUUGGAUUAAAAUUUAGGUUUGGUGUAGCAGCUGGGCUAUUAGGUCUGUUCGACCUUUAAAAUUUUACAUGAUCUGAGUUUAGACCGGCGUGAGCCAGGUUGGUUUCUAUCUUUAUAAAACUAAUAUUUUUUAGUACGAAAGGACCAAAAAUAUAUUAAAUUAGUUUGACUAUGAAUAUUAUUGUUGCUUUGGCAGAAUAGUGUGAUAGAUUUAGGAUCUUUUUAUGUAGCGAGUAUAACUACA
RNAcentral lists this ribosomal RNA (1366 nucleotides) under Scolytinae sp. BMNH 1040341. RNAcentral describes it as "16S ribosomal RNA". The stretch from base 880 to 1235 matches the Rfam family "Bacterial large subunit ribosomal RNA", at positions 2076 to 2644 of the family's 2925-position model. The record is from RNAcentral. Lineage: Eukaryota; Metazoa; Arthropoda; Insecta; Coleoptera; Curculionidae.